UAGCGUGAUAAGGCUUAUUAAUGAUCCGGUCGCUUGUGAGGAUCACCUUCGGGCAGCGACAACAACACUCCUGUAGCCUGCAAGGGAGUACACCGAUGUGUGGUACAUCUGCGCACCUUUGGAAGCAGAUAUCGUUAAGUUUAAUUACGAUGAAGGUUUCU
Non-coding RNA from Xenorhabdus doucetiae, 161 nucleotides. The record is from Rfam. Lineage: Bacteria; Pseudomonadati; Pseudomonadota; Gammaproteobacteria; Enterobacterales; Morganellaceae.